UUACGAAACUCGAUCUGUAAUUUCAUCCGAGGAUUUGUCUCCUAAACAAGAGACCAUACCCCAAGAAAAUGAAUUAAAACAGGACGAGGAUGUGGUAAAGCUUGAAGUUAAUUCUAACCUAAGAUCUGUUCUAUCAAGAAGCAGCCAAUUUAGUAACCAAUUUGGAAAAGAAAGAACUGUAACUGGAUUUGAAAAUUCGAAGCUCAAGCUAUGUUUCAUUAAUCAAACAGCUCCCACCAUUUUCACCAACAAUGAAAUAAAAGCCAAAGAUGGGAAACCACUACUAGUUGCAAUUUGUGAAAAUACUACCAACUCCAAUGCUAUCAUCAAGACAGGUCUUUUGUCGUCGGCCUUGGUUGAGUUCGUCGUC
Molecule: long non-coding RNA, 370 nt
Organism: Cucumis melo (muskmelon)
Lineage: Eukaryota; Viridiplantae; Streptophyta; Magnoliopsida; Cucurbitales; Cucurbitaceae
Exons: 3
Source: RefSeq, a predicted model, not a curated record